CCUACGGGUGGCAGCAGUGAGGAAUAUUGGUCAAUGGGCGCGAGCCUGAACCAGCCAAGUAGCGUGAAGGAUGACUGCCCUACGGGUUGUAAACUUCUUUUAUCAAGGAAUAAAGUGAGGCACGUGUGCCUUGUUGUAUGUACUUUAUGAAUAAGGAUCGGCUAACUCCUGGCCAGCAGCCGCGGUAAUACGGAGGAUCCGAGUGUUAUCCGGAUUUGUUUGGUUUUAAGGGAGCGUAGAGGGGUUGGUAAGUCAGGUGGGAAAGUUUGAGGCUCAACCGUAAAAUUGCAAUUGAUACUGGCAGUCUUGAGUAGAGUUGAGGUAGGCGGAAUGCGGGGUGUAGCGGUGAAAUGCUUAGAUAUCACGAAGAACGCCGAUUGCGAAGGCAGCAUAC
This 394-nucleotide ribosomal RNA is filed under the name uncultured bacterium. RNAcentral describes it as "partial 16S ribosomal RNA". It matches the Rfam family "Bacterial small subunit ribosomal RNA", at positions 338 to 729 of the family's 1533-position model. The record is from RNAcentral.